This 245-nucleotide ribosomal RNA is filed under the name Macrobrachium idella. Its description in RNAcentral is "partial 16S ribosomal RNA". The record is from RNAcentral. Lineage: Eukaryota; Metazoa; Arthropoda; Malacostraca; Decapoda; Palaemonidae.
AGACUAUGUUAGUGAUAAGUAGUUUUGCCGGGUAUAUAUUUCGUUGGGGAGAUGUAGAUAUUAUAUGUAACUGUGUAUAUUAUUAUAUAUAUAUAAUUAGUAUUUGAUCCAUCUUUGGGGAUUAGGAGAAUAAGUUACUUUAGGGAUAACAGCGAGAUUAUCUUACAGACUUCUUAUCGACAAGAGUAGUUGCGACGUCGAUGUUGAAUUAAAAUUUCAGCUAGGUGUAGGCGUUUAGCUCGUGC